Non-coding RNA from Bos taurus (domestic cattle), 73 nucleotides. The record is from Rfam. Lineage: Eukaryota; Metazoa; Chordata; Mammalia; Artiodactyla; Bovidae.
UCCCUGGUGGUCCAGUGGCUACGAUGCUGUGCUUCCAAAGCAGGGGGCCCAGGUUUGAUCCCCGGUCAGGAAA